GUUACAGCAGCCGCGGUAAUACGUAGGGGGCAAGCGUUGUCCGGAAUUAUUGGGCGUAAAGGGCGCGUAGGCGGAUGUUUAAGUCCGGUGUGAAAGAUCAGGGCUCAACCCUGAGAGUGCAUCGGAAACUGGGCAUCUUGAGGACAGGAGAGGAAAGUGGAAUUCCUAGUGUAGCGGUGAAAUGCGUAGAUAUUAGGAGGAACACCAGUGGCGAAGGCGACUUUCUGGACUGUAACUGACGCUGAGGCGCGAAAGCGUGGGGAGCAAACAGGAUUAGAUACCCCAGUAGUCC
RNAcentral lists this ribosomal RNA (292 nucleotides) under uncultured bacterium. RNAcentral describes it as "partial 16S ribosomal RNA". It matches the Rfam family "Bacterial small subunit ribosomal RNA", at positions 505 to 796 of the family's 1533-position model. The record is from RNAcentral.